RNAcentral lists this long non-coding RNA (1514 nucleotides) under Athene cunicularia (burrowing owl). RNAcentral describes it as "lncRNA (ENSACUG00000014463.1)". Lineage: Eukaryota; Metazoa; Chordata; Aves; Strigiformes; Strigidae. The record is from RNAcentral.
GGUUUUAUGAGUCUUUUGUUUGUGGAGACAGGCAGCACAGAGGAUGAGAAGAGACUUCUGAGCAGCCAUGGAUGAGUUACAGUUGCAGCAGGCAUCCAGCAGCCGAAGCCUCCUCAAGCUCACUGGCAUGGAGGUCAAGUGGAUUCACGUGUUGGUCAUCUUCUUCUUCCUGAUGUCUGUUGCGAUGACAGGCUGCUUUCUGUGGCAGUACAGCCUCCCCAAGGUGGAGUCCAGCCCAUCUGUAAUGGACAUGAGAGCAGAAGCUGUGCAGAUGUGCCCCCGCUAUCCAGAACCAGUACCGCUGGACCACCCAAUCCCCAUUCUGAAGGAUGCAUUGGGAAAGGUCUGUGAGGAGAACAGAACAGAGGGACAUGGAGCUCAUGACUUCUUUUCUGAAGGUGUAAAGGGGAAAAUAUGUAUUUUGCCACUGAGCAUCUCUGGGGGAAGAGGUGGGGAAUUGAGGAAGUGGAGAAGAUGUGAAUGUAGAAAUGGGUAUACAGAACUCCUUCACUGAAUAUACAGACCAGGUCAGUAAGCAGUUCUCUUAUCCAAAGGGUAAGCUAUGAUGAAGAAACAGUAUUACCUGUCCAUCAGAAGAUCCGGUGAGCAUAUAACAGCACAUGGCUCCUGGCAUCUUGCCUAAUAUUAGGCAGUUCUCAUGUCCUGGAAAGUGACUCAUGUAACCAUUUCCUCUUCAUCAGUGACUGCCAAUUCCUUAUUUUAUUGCUUUGCUGGCUUUCCCCAUGGCACCAUUUAAAGAUUAAAAAGCCACUUGCAGGUAACUUCAAGGAAAGAAAUGGAGGGAAAUGGGAAGAAGGGGACAUGCAUCUGAAUGAGAGACCUGUUUUUCCUCCGUAUGAUAUACUGCCUCUGAAAUUUUAAAACUGUCUGAAAUUCGGGUAGGCUCUAUUUGCAAUGAGGAAAUACCGCAGCAUUGCCUUGAUUGUAUGGACCAUAAGGACAGCCAUGCUCUGACAGAAGACUGCUGGUAGUAUAUAUCAUAAAAUAUAUCCUCUCAUUAGUCUCUUUCUCAUUAGCAGCUUGAUUAGUCAUAAUAGAAGCUGCCCCACAGCUCUGAUCAUUCUUUUUACCCUUUUUUGAAUCUCUUCCGACUCUAGCAUACUCCUGUGAAGAUGUGGGAAAUCAGUACUGUGCACAGUAUUCGAGGUGCAAGUGGAUUAGGGAUUUAUACAGUGAUAAAAUGGUGUUUUCUGUUUUAUUUUAUGUUACUUCUCUCAUAAUCCCUCAUAUCUGAUUUACCUUUUUUUUUUUUUCUGCCACAGGGCACUGAGCAAAUGUUUACAUAGGAGCAUCCAUCACAGCCCCAAGGUCUCGUUCCUGAGUGCUAAAGCCCAGCUCACUGCCCAUCUGUGUCUAUGUGUUGUGAAGUUAGGGUUGUUUUCCUUCAGGCAUGUCACUUUAUCUACACUGAAUUUCGGUUGCUGUCACUUCACAUCCACUUUUCUGAAGUCUGUGCCACUGUCUCUGGGGUUACUGUAGAGAGGUAUUUUAUU